GGUCGGGUGGCGUAAUGGCAACGCGUUACUUUCCGGUUAACAUAGACGUUUCCUCAGUUGGUAAAGAUUCUGGGUUCGAGUCCCAGCUCGAUCG
Non-coding RNA from Apodospora peruviana, 94 nucleotides. The record is from the annotation of a GenBank genome assembly. NCBI's taxonomy places the organism in Eukaryota, Fungi, Ascomycota, Sordariomycetes, Sordariales, Lasiosphaeriaceae.